Non-coding RNA from Maylandia zebra (zebra mbuna), 4623 nucleotides. Lineage: Eukaryota; Metazoa; Chordata; Actinopteri; Cichliformes; Cichlidae. The record is from RefSeq and is a predicted model, not a curated record.
UGACCCUCUCUGAACCUCUGCUUGAACAGUACACCUGGGGAUGAGAGAGAGAGAGAGGGUGACAGGUGGCUGGUCAGAGCGGUGUCGCGCGCCACAGAUGCUCCCGACCAGCUUUCAAACGCGCGCGAGCGUGCUCGAGCCUUUUACGUGCACGCGAGAUUAGGCUGCUCGCAGGACGAAGCCGGUGAGAAUGUGUGAGCGCUCGUCUUCGGCCGCCGGAGCCCCGGGAAGAUGUCGGUGAUGACUCCGUACCGGGAAACCCGUAGCUAACGGCUGCUACUCCUGCGACCAUUGGAUGUUGUUUUUAAAACUUUUCCUUAGGACGGUUGUUUUUGCGGUGUGGGGAUAAAAAAAACACCACCCGGAGGGACAGGUGUCACCCCCCUUCUCACUCCAGUUUUGUGUUUCCUUUCCCCCUCAUACUUUUUUUUUUUUUUUUGGAAACCGAGUAGGACCUUGGGGAGCCAUGCUGUGGACACGCUGGCUCGUGCUGCUGCUCUGCUGGGGGGCCACAGGCAGCGAAGAGCAGGCGGAUGAGAGGGGCGCGGUACCGGCUGAGGUCCGGUCGGACUCCCGCAGAGAGCGCUCACCUCCGCCGGUGGAGCCGCUGGAUUUUGGGUUUGUACCCGCGGCGGUUUACGACACCCACGCUUAUUACGAGCCAGGGAGCAUGGGGAUCCUCUUCCAUAUGGUCCACGCGUUUCUCUACAUCAUUCAGCCGAACCCCUUUCCCAAAGAUCUCAUUGUCAAAGUCAUUCAGCAAAACAUGGGUGGAAUCAAAAUAGAGGAAUGGAGAAAGCCAGAAAACGUCGUCUUGUUGCUGCAGUGGAUCCAGUACGAGUCCGGAUUUCUCAUAUGUGCAACCUUCGGCGUCGUGUUUGUGGUCCUUAUCCCCGUCAUAGCUAUGUGCUUCUGCAUGUGUCGAUGCUGUGAUAACUGUGGAGGGGAGAUGCAUCAGAGACAGAGGAAAAAUGCAGACUGUCACAGAGGUUUCUAUACCGCCUCGCUGGUUGCUACAACCAUCUUCAUCAUUGUGGGUGUUCUCAUUGCUCUCGCCGCAAACCACAACAUCAGCUCACAGGUCAAAAGCACUCGGCGGCUCAUUAACACCAACAUGAGAGACCUGAAGACGUUCGCUAACAACACGCCUGCACAAGUCGAUUACCUGACAGCCCAGUACACCACAGCCAAGAACAAAGUCCUGUCAGACCUCGACAACAUUGGCCCUUUGCUGGGGGGUAGGAUCCACAUUCAGCUGGAGAAAUCAGUGAUUCCUUCGCUGGACACCGCCCUGCGUAUGGCAGGAGCAAAAGUUGAGAGUGCCAUCAAAGCCAUGCGGGAGACCAAAGAGGCCCUGGAGAACGUCAGCUCGUCCUUGGAGGUGCUGCAGGACGGGGUGGGGAAGCUUCAGGCCAGCCUGUCAGGAGAGCGCGCCUCUCUGUCCAACACCCUGUCCGACCCCGCCUGCACGAACGGAGCUGUGUCACAUACCUGUAACACCAUCCGCUCCACACUGUCCCAGCUGGGAAUCAAUGCUGACUUCUCCAAGAUCCCAGAUGUUAAUCAUGCCUUGGCCAAUGUCAAUACUGUCCUGAAAACAGAUCUCAGCAACAUUGUACAAAAGGGUUACGCAUCCUUUAACGACACGCCAAGACUGGUUAAAGAGCAAACAAAAAACAUUGUUGCAGCUCUGCCUCGAGUAAAGGGGAUGCUGGAUAAGAUCGGUGCAGAGAUCAUCGGCUUCUCCAAGAUGUUCCCCGUGGAAGCUUCUCUGGCAAAUUUCACCAUUUUCCUAAAUGAAAGACACAAAGCUAUUGAGUCCUAUUACCCCCAAAUCGAUCAGAUGGAUUUUUACAGGUGGAUCGCCUGCGUGGCGGUGCUCUGCAUGGUCGUCUUGGUGAUGGCCUUUAACAUCCUCGGCCUGCUGUGUGGUAACUGUGGCUACGACAAGCAAGCUAGCCCGACCACCCGCGGCUGCCUGUCGAACACUGGGGGAAACCUGCUGAUGGCUGGUGUUGGCUUCUCGUUUAUCUUUGCCUGGGUGCUGAUGGUCAUCGUUACCACCCUGUUUGUUGUCGGGGGCAAUGUGGAAAAGCUGAUAUGUGAACCUCUGGCUAACAGACAACUGUUUAAGAUCAUUGAUACGCCGUUCCUGGUCCAUCCUGAAAAGAGGAACUUCCUUCCUGGGAUGCUUUUCCAGAAUCCAAAUAUUGAUUUAACUCUAGGCGGCAUGUACAGGGAGUGCUAUGACAACAACGGUCUGUAUCACGCUCUGCAGCUGGAGACCAUGUUCAACAUUAACUCCUUCCUCAACAGAACAGUGUACAACAGGGACCUGGCCAAAGUGUUUGAUAGUGUGCAGGUGGACCUGCAGGGCAUCACGCUGCUGGAGCAGGCUGGCAGAGACAACCUCAUCAACUUUGCCAACUCUGGAAUUGGACAGAUUGACUUUCAGGUUUAUCUCACUGAGGUAAAUAAAGGAGUCACUCUAAUAGAUCUGCUGUCCUUCUGUAGCGACCUGGAGGGUCAGGCUGACCAGCUGCCACGUGGUGCUCUGGAGAACGCACUGAGAGGCCAUGCCAGCAGCAUUAGAUUCAUUCACCGAGAACAGGUGGUGCCACUGGAGCAAGCAAUGAAAUAUGUCAGAGCACGGAGUACGCUGCACCAGAGUGUCAAACAGCUACAGAAGACAUCCAACGACCUGCCAGUCAAAGUAACAAAUGUCCUGAGUGCCAUUGAUGCAGCAGAGUACCUCAUCGCUCAUAAUGCCUCCCACGUGGUGAAGCAGGAAACAAAGGCGUAUGUGCAGGGCUUGGUGGGAUACUUCAAACAGUACACAGAAUGGGUUAAAAACUCUCUAACUACAGAGGUGGCCCAGUGUAAACCCAUCAGCAACAUUGUGGACAGUAUGGAAAUAGUAGGAUGCAGCUUCAUAAUCGACUCACUGAACACAUUCUGGUUUGGUCUCGGCAGCUGCUGCAUCCUGCUCAUCCCCAGCAUCAUCUUCUCUGUCAAACUGGCCAAGUAUUACAGAAGGAUGGACACAGAGGACGUCUUUGAAGACUCCUCUUACCCAUGGCUUGUUGCACUUUAACAUCGAUAAUUCAUGCACUUUCUCAUCUUCUCCCACACACUUACUCGCUUUUUGGAACGGGACUGUCCAGCUUCGAAUCUCUUGAGCUUUUUCACUCUUUCUUCUGAAAUCACGAGCUCGGCAUUUUAGCUCUUAACAUGGACUUUCCCAUCACUGCUCGCGCUCUCUUUCUUUCCGAUGCGAGCGUCGCUCUCUGUGGAUCACUCCAUCCCUGUCACUUUCACAGGAGUCUUCCCCUUUUUCAUCUGCCCCUCCCCUCGUUCUUCUCUUGCAGUAUGGCUAAUACAGGAAAUCACGGUGAACAGGUGUGUGAUAUCCAUGGAAACCUUGCCAUCAGCUCUCCCUAUUCUGACACUCUGACUCGGUUCCCUCGGGCCUCUGCUCCCCCGAGCUACUCAGUCUGGUGACCCACUGGAACUCUCUCCCUGCUGAUGAGGUAUUGACGAUCACUGAUGACUCCACUAACCCUUACAGCUACGCUAACAACCAGCCAUUGGACAGGAGAACUGGAACUGAUCUUCCCUUUGUGGAUCACUGGGCUGUUUAGGCUUCCGAUUCAGAUCUUUUAACACUUCCAAGGACAAAAGGGAAGAACAAUCGUGAACUCUGGGAUGAAGGCGUCUUUCAGUAGUCCUUCAGGCCAUUUGACAAAACCACUAAUGCCAGCAAAAUCCUAUGAAGUGUUUUCUCGACCCCUUUACCAUUUUAUUAUGUACACCAACAGCUGCAUAUUUAGCUGCAUAGAGAAUCAAUUUGUACUUACAUAAUCAGUUUUAAACAAGGCAACACAAGUGUACAGUUUUUACACUUUCAAGUCUUUUGAAAGUUUUAUAUAUUUUUUGUUAAACUUUGUUUUAUAACAUGUAAGUAGGUUUGUAGUAAUAGCUUUCUUUUUCUCUGUGAAUAUUUGUAAUAUAGCUUACAUAAUUUGCAUCAAACAGGUUUCACUUAGCAGGUGUUUAUUUAAGGAAUGGUUUGACAAUUUGAAAAAAAAAAAAGUAGCUACUCGCUUUCUUUCAGAACUGACACAGAUCACAUCUCUCAUGGGAAUCUACCAAACAGCUGUGCAGCUAUGUUUUUGACCAAAGAGACCAAAGGUAUUGAAUUAUUCAUUUAAGCAGCAAAGCGGCAGCUCUGCUCGGCUCAGUACAUCCUUGAAACAUGAAGACUGCGCAGUUUACUACAAAGUGUUACAAGCUAUUAAAUACACACAUGUGCUUAUUCUAUUGAAUCAGCUUUUAUUUAACUAAAUUUAAUUAAGUUCCUGUUUAUGUUGUUGUUUGUUCAUAAAAACUGUAUGUAGGCUGUCAACUUGUUUGAUCAGCUUCAAAAGUUUGGUAAGCGCUGUUUUAACAGGAUUUAAGGAGCGAUGACACACAAAAUAUCAUGUUUCACCAGACUGUUAAUGAGGGCCUGUUGCUUGUGUUGUCAAAUAAAAUUCCCAGAAGCCUCUGCAAUAUUAAAGGUCUGAAAAACACAACUGGGCUUGUGGUGAGGAUGCAAAUCUCUAAAUAAAAACUCAAAUCCAG